AUCGUCAACCAGUCCCGUGAGCGAAAGGCGAAAAUUACCCCGUCUAGGGGUUUGAAAAAGAACCUUAAACCGUGUACGUACAAGCAGUUGUAGCAGAGGUUUUCCUGUGUGACUGCUUACCUUUUGUAUAAUGGGUCAGCGACUUAUAUUCUGUAGCAAGGUUAACCGAAUAGGGGAGCCGGAGGGAAACCGAGUCUUAAUUGGGCGUUAAGUUGCAGGGUAUAGACCCGAAACCCGGUGAUCUAGCCAUGGGCAGGUUGAAGGUUGGGUAACACUAACUGGAGGACCGAACCGACUAAUGUUGAAAAAUUAGCGGAUGACCUGUGGCUGGGGGUGAAAGGCCAAUCAAACCGGGAGAUAGCUGGUUCUCCCCGAAAGCUAUUUAGGUAGCGCCUCGUGAAUUCAUCUCCGGGGGUAGAGCACUGUUUCGGCUAGGGGGCCAUCCCGGCUUACCAACCCGAUGCAAACUGCGAAUACCGGAGAAUGUUAUCACGGGAGACACACGGCGGGUGCUAACGUCCGUCGUGAAGAGGGAAACAACCCAGACCGCCAGCUAAGGUCCCAAAGUCAUGGUUAAGUGGGAAACGAUGUGGGAAGGCCCAGACAGCCAGGAUGUUGGCUUAGAAGCAGCCAUCAUUUAAAGAAAGCGUAAUAGCUCACUGGUCGAGUCGGCCUGCGCGGAAGAUGUAACGGGGCUAAACCAUGCACCGAAGCUGCGGCAGCGACGCUUAUGCGUUGUUGGGUAGGGGAGCGUUCUGUAAGCCUGUGAAGGUGGCCUGUGAGGGUUGCUGGAGGUAUCAGAAGUGCGAAUG
RNAcentral lists this ribosomal RNA (812 nucleotides) under Salmonella enterica subsp. enterica serovar Dublin. Its description in RNAcentral is "bacterial LSU rRNA". It matches the Rfam family "Bacterial large subunit ribosomal RNA", at positions 486 to 1296 of the family's 2925-position model. The record is from RNAcentral. Lineage: Bacteria; Pseudomonadati; Pseudomonadota; Gammaproteobacteria; Enterobacterales; Enterobacteriaceae.